AUUGAACGCUGGCGGCAGGCCUAACACAUGCAAGUCGAGCGGAUGAACGCUGCUUGCUCCUGGAUUCAGCGGCGGACGGGUGUGUAAUGCCCGGGAAUCUGCCUCCUUGUGGGGGAGAACGUCCGCAAAAGGGCGCUCAUACUGCAUACGUCCUGAGGGAGAAUGUGGGUGGGCUUCGGAACUCUUGCUCUUAGGUGAGUCUAGGUCGGAUUAGCUAGUUGGUGGGGUAAAGGCCUACUAAGGCGACGAUUCGUAACUGAUCUGAGAGGAUGAUCAGCCGCACUGGAACUGGAACAGGGUCAUGACUCCUAAGAGAGGCAGCAGAGGGGAACAUGGGGCAAGAGUCGAGAGCCUGGUCCAGCCAGGCCGCGUGUGUGAAAAAAGUCUUCUGAGUGUAAAGCACUUUAAGUGGGGAGGAAGGGCAGUAAGUUAAUACCAAGCUGUUGUGACGUUACCAGCAAAAGAAGCACCGGCUAACUUCGUG
This 484-nucleotide ribosomal RNA is filed under the name uncultured bacterium. RNAcentral describes it as "partial 16S ribosomal RNA". It matches the Rfam family "Bacterial small subunit ribosomal RNA", at positions 30 to 507 of the family's 1533-position model. The record is from RNAcentral.